Molecule: long non-coding RNA, 1369 nt
Organism: Meriones unguiculatus (Mongolian gerbil)
Lineage: Eukaryota; Metazoa; Chordata; Mammalia; Rodentia; Muridae
Exons: 4
Source: RefSeq, a predicted model, not a curated record
CUGCAAUAGAUGCAGUUAGAGAAACCCACGUCGGUCCUGAGCUGAAAGAAGGGCAUUUUGUUCUGUUUUUGUGAAAAGUACACCUUAUUAUGUUAAGGACAUAACCAAUAAGGAACCCUGUGUGAAGCAAUGCCCUUCUUGGGUCCUUGAUGAAGUCAGUCAUGGAACUGAAAAAGGGGGUAGGAGACGACGAGCUGACCUGUGACUAGACACAGCAUCAAAGAAAAUCAAAGAACUGAUUGGCAGGGAAGAUGGAAAAUAGAGGGAGAAGCUCCCAAGUGCAAGCAGAACUCAGGCGGGGAGCGAAGUUUCCCUUCCAUUCUGACUCCCAAAGGCACAGCACCCACCGAAGCAAGCAGGUGUUCUGACAUUGAAAUGAGUGAAGAAGCAAUACCCUGAUACCGGGGACUACAGAGGACCAAGGAGGACAUCAAGAGGUGAGGUUACGGAUUACUUCCCCAACUGCUUCCGACGACCAAGGACGCGCUGCUCCCAAGCCCGGGAAUGAAGGAGUGACGGUGAAGGCAGAAGACACAAAGAGACAACCCAUCACCGCUGUCCUGUUGGAAACUGGUCACUGUGUGAAGCCCAAACCUAUGGGGAGCUAUCUUCAACCUGUGUGAGGAGUGACUGUCGACAUAAUAAUAUGCUCCAGGCUCAGAACUGCCUAUACCUGCCAUUGGUCAUUUCUUCAAGGAGGCCCAUUUCCAUUUAUUGGAGAAUGGUAACAGACACUCAAGGAUGGCUACCAAGUGUGUCUCCAGGAUGGGGAUUGAGCUACAGAGGAGGGCCUCUGAAAGCCAGAAGAAGAAAACAGGAAACAAACUAGGAACCUGCCACAGAGGGCCUCUGAAAGCCUCUGCCCUGCAGACUAUCAAAGCAGAUGCUGAGCCUGAUGGGCAACUGUUGGGCAGAAUGGAAUGGGAAGGGAGGGAGGGACUGGGAGGGAAUGAGGGAUCGGGACACGGCUGGGAUACAGAGUUAAUAAAAUGUAACUGAUAAAAAAAAUAAAAAAUAAAAUAUAAAAGAAGUGGGAAAUAGUAAGAGCUGGAGAGGACAGGAACUCCACAAGGAGAGCAACAGAACAAGAAAAUUUGAACACAGGGAACUUCCCAGAGACUCAUACUCCAACCAAGGACGAUUCAUGGAGAUAACCUAGAACCCCUGCACAGAUGUAGCCCAUGGCAGUUCAGUGUCCAAGUGGGUUACAUAGUAAUGGGAAUAGGGACUGCCUCUGACAUAAUCUGAUUGGCCUGCUCUUUGAUCACCUCCCUCUGGGGUGGAGCAGCCUUACCAGGCCACAGAAGAUGACAAUGCAGCCACUCUUGAUGAGAACUGAUAGACUAAGAUCAGAAAGAAGGAGAGGAGG